This 500-nucleotide ribosomal RNA is filed under the name uncultured soil bacterium. Its description in RNAcentral is "bacterial SSU rRNA". It matches the Rfam family "Bacterial small subunit ribosomal RNA", at positions 26 to 517 of the family's 1533-position model. The record is from RNAcentral.
AGAGUGAACGCUGGCGGUAGGCCUAACACAUGCAAGUCGAACGGCAGCACAGUGGUAGCAAUACCAUGGGUGGCGAGUGGCGGACGGGUGAGGAAUACAUCGGAAUCUACCUUUUCGUGGGGGAUAACGUAGGGAAACUUACGCUAAUACCGCAUACGCCCUUCGGGGGAAAGCCGGGGAUCGCAAGACCUGGCGCGGAUAGAUGAGCCGAUGUCGGAUUAGCUAGUUGGUGAGGUAAUGGCUCACCAAGGCGACGAUCCGUAGCUGGUCUGAGAGGAUGAUCAGCCACACUGGAACUGAGACACGGUCCAGACUCCUACGGGAGGCAGCAGUGGGAAUAUUGGACAAUGGGCGCAAGCCUGAUCCAGCCAUACCGCGUGGGUGAAGAAGGCCUUGGUUGUAAAGCCCGUUUUAGUAGGAAAGAAAGCAAGUCGGUUAAUACCCGGUUAGUCCUGACGUACCCAAAGAAUAAGCACCGACUAACUCGUAGCCAGCAGCCG